GAGGGAGAGGGCGUGGAGGAAGAGAUGGUAGUAGAGGGAGAGGACGUGGCAGAGGUAGAUUCAACAAAGAAAAUGUUGAAUGCUACAAAUGUCACAAGUUAGGCCAUUUUCAGUCUGAAUGUCCAAGCUGGGAUGAAGAUAAUGCAAACUAUGCAGAGUUUGAAUUUGAUGAGGCUGGAGAAAUCUUGCUUAUGGCUCAAGGUACUCAAGAUUGUGCAAGCAACAAUGAAAGUAAGUAUGAAAUUUGGU
This 249-nucleotide long non-coding RNA is filed under the name Trifolium pratense (red clover). RNAcentral's name for it is "long non-coding RNA (TPRA_LNC010244)". The record is from RNAcentral. Lineage: Eukaryota; Viridiplantae; Streptophyta; Magnoliopsida; Fabales; Fabaceae.